RNAcentral lists this ribosomal RNA (301 nucleotides) under uncultured bacterium. Its description in RNAcentral is "partial 16S ribosomal RNA". It matches the Rfam family "Bacterial small subunit ribosomal RNA", at positions 509 to 807 of the family's 1533-position model. The record is from RNAcentral.
CAGCCGCCGCGGGAAUACGUAGGUGGCAAGCGUUGUCCGGAAUUAUUGGGCGUAAAGGGCUCGCAGGCGGUUUCUUAAGUCUGAUGUGAAAGCCCACGGCUCAACCGUGGAGGGUCAUUGGAAACUGUUAAACUUGAGUGCAGGAGAGAAAAGUGGAAUUCCUAGUGUAGCGGUGAAAUGCGUAGAGAUUAGGAGGAACACCAGUGGCGAAGGCGGCUUUUUGGCCUGUAACUGACACUGAGGCGCGAAAGCGUGGGGAGCAAACAGGAUUAGAUACCCGCGUAGUCCCUGUCUCUUAUAC